This 478-nucleotide ribosomal RNA is filed under the name uncultured bacterium. RNAcentral describes it as "partial 16S ribosomal RNA". It matches the Rfam family "Bacterial small subunit ribosomal RNA", at positions 29 to 507 of the family's 1533-position model. The record is from RNAcentral.
AUGAACGCUGGCGGCGUGCUUAACACAUGCAAGUCGAGCGAGAAGUUUUGAAAAGAUUCUUCGGAUGAAAUUUAAAAUGGAAAGCGGCGGACGGGUGAGUAACGCGUAGGCAACCUGCCCCAUACAAAGGGAUAGCAUUUGGAAACGAAUAUUAAUACCUUAUGAAACUUAACUAGUGCAUGCUAGGUAGGUCAAAGAUUUAUCGGUAUGGGAUGGGCCUGCGUCUGAUUAGCUAGUUGGUGAGGUAACGGCUCACCAAGGCGACGAUCAGUAGCCGACCUGAGAGAGUGAACGGCCAGAGUGGAACAGAGACACGGUCCAAACUCCUGCGGGAGGCAGCAGUGAGGAAGAUUGCACAAUGGGAGAAACCCUGAUGCAGCAACGCCGCGUGAACGAUGAAGGCCUUUGGGACGUAAAGUUCUGUUCUAGGUGAUGAAGACUGACAGUAACCUAGGAGAAAGCCCCGGCUAACUCCGUG